GGCCCCGUAGUUCAAUGGAUAGAACGGAAGUUUCCUAAACUUUAAAUACAGGUUCGAUUCCUGUCGGGGCUA
RNAcentral lists this transfer RNA (72 nucleotides) under Bacteroidetes bacterium GWE2_29_8. RNAcentral describes it as "tRNA-Arg". It matches the Rfam family "tRNA". Rfam says of the family: Transfer RNA (tRNA) molecules are approximately 80 nucleotides in length. Their secondary structure includes four short double-helical elements and three loops (D, anti-codon, and T loops). RNAcentral also lists the same sequence under 9 other names. Lineage: Bacteria; Pseudomonadati; Bacteroidota. The record is from RNAcentral.